GCCGGGCGCGGUGGCGCGCGCCUGUAGUCCCAGCUACUCGGGAGGCUGAGGCUGGAGGAUCGCUUGAGCUCAGGAGUUCUGGGCUGCAGUGUGCUAUGCCGAUCGGGUGUCCGCACUAAGUUCGGCAUCAAUAUGGUGACCUCCCGGGAGCGGGGGACCACCAGGUUGCCUAAGGAGGGGUGAACCGGCCCAGGUCGGAAACGGAGCAGGUCAAAACUCCCGUGCUGAUCAGUAGUGGGAUCGCGCCUGUGAAUAGCCACUGUACUCCAGCCUGGGCAACAUAGCGAGACCCCGUCUCU
RNAcentral lists this signal recognition particle RNA (299 nucleotides) under Bison bison bison. RNAcentral's name for it is "Metazoan signal recognition particle RNA (ENSBBBG00000004596.1)". It matches the Rfam family "Metazoan signal recognition particle RNA". Rfam says of the family: The signal recognition particle (SRP) is a universally conserved ribonucleoprotein. It is involved in the co-translational targeting of proteins to membranes. The record is from RNAcentral. Lineage: Eukaryota; Metazoa; Chordata; Mammalia; Artiodactyla; Bovidae.